RNAcentral lists this long non-coding RNA (260 nucleotides) under Lathyrus oleraceus (garden pea). Its description in RNAcentral is "Pisum sativum (pea) long non-coding RNA (PSAT_LNC040845)". The record is from RNAcentral. Lineage: Eukaryota; Viridiplantae; Streptophyta; Magnoliopsida; Fabales; Fabaceae.
UUAAUUUCGCCAAUCACAUCAAUGCCCCACAUUGCAAAGGGCCACGGCGCGGUCAACACGUUUAAUGGAGCAGGAGGCACAUGUACUUUAUCCGCAUAGAUCUGGCACUUAUGACAAGUUCUGGAGUGAUGGUGGCAAUCAGUUUCCAUGGUAGACCAAUAAUACCCUGACCUCAGAAUCUUCUUGGCCAUUGUAUGUCCACUAGAAUGAGUCCCAAAGAUACCGUCGUGCAUGUCUUCCAUAAUCUUCUCUGAUUCCUU